GAUGAAGAACGCAGUGAAAUGCGAUACGUAAUGUGAAUUGCAGAAUUCAGUGAAUCAUCGAGUCUUUGAACGCACAUUGCGCCCUCUGGUAUUCCGGAGGGCAUGCCUGUCCGAGCGUCAUUGCUGCCCUCAAGCACGGCUUGUGUGUUGGGCCCCGCCCCCCGAUCCCGGGGGGCGGGCCCGAAAGGCAGCGGCGGCACCGCGUCCGGUCCUCGAGCGUAUGGGGCUUUGUCACCCGCUCUGUAGGCCCGGCCGGCGCCUGCCGAUCAACCAAACUUUUUUCCAGGUUGACCUCGGAUCAGGUAGGGAUACCCGCUGAACUUAAGCAUAUCAAUAAAGCGGAGGA
RNAcentral lists this unclassified non-coding RNA (346 nucleotides) under soil metagenome. RNAcentral's name for it is "partial contains 5.8S ribosomal RNA, internal transcribed spacer 2, and large subunit ribosomal RNA". The stretch from base 1 to 120 matches the Rfam family "5.8S ribosomal RNA", at positions 35 to 154 of the family's 154-position model. The record is from RNAcentral.